GAUGAACGCUGGCGGCGUGCCUAAUACAUGCAAGUCGUGCGGAAAGGCCUCUUCGGAGGUACUCGAGCGGCGGACGGCAGAGUAACGCGUAGGAACAUACCCCAAACUGAGGGAUAACUGCCCGAAAGGGUGGCUAAUACCGCAUGUGAUCUUCGGAUUAAAGCUUCGGCGGUUUGGGAAUGGCCUGCGUUCGAUUAGCUAGUUGGUGAGGUAAAGGCUCACCAAGGCGACGAUCGAUAACUGGUCUGAGAGGAUGAUCAGUCUGACUGGAACUGAGACACGGUCCAGACUCCUACGGGAGGCAGCAGUAGGGAAUUUUCCACAAUGGGCGAAAGCCUGAUGGAGCAACGCCGCGUGCAGGAUGAAGGCCCUCGGGUCGUAAACUGCUUUUAUGUGAGAAGAAUAUGACGGUAACACAUGAAUAAGGGUCGGCUAAC
Molecule: ribosomal RNA, 437 nt
Filed under: uncultured bacterium
Lineage: Bacteria
Description: bacterial SSU rRNA
Rfam family: Bacterial small subunit ribosomal RNA
Source: RNAcentral